This 596-nucleotide long non-coding RNA is filed under the name Numida meleagris (helmeted guineafowl). RNAcentral's name for it is "lncRNA (ENSNMEG00000005392.1)". The record is from RNAcentral. Lineage: Eukaryota; Metazoa; Chordata; Aves; Galliformes; Numididae.
GUCCUUGCCAACCUGGGUCGUUCAACUGGGAUUGACCCACAAUAUCGAGCUGCCAUUGUGAAGGUAUAUUUGAAUGGAACACACAUUGGUUUGGAAUGGAGCUAACCUACUGAUGGUGCCUUAAAAAGCGACAACAGAGAGGAGAGAGCAGAAUGAGCUGUGCCCAUACCGUAGAUCUUUGUGUUCUUCACCCCAGGUCAGCCAUCUACUAAUCCUGCAGUGAUCUUUGAGAACUCGGAACAAAUAGAAGCUUUCCUGAAAGGCUCCUGUUGUUUCCUGCAGCAAUUUCCGACUCAGAGUCAAUAAAUUAAUUCAGUCUUGUGCUCAGCAAGAAGUUCGAGCUCAGCUCCAAAAAGUACAAAUGCACAACCCGUCGUUGCUGCUGUAAGCACUCUGUGUGCUGCUAGAAUGCCUUCAUACCGGGCUGCAAAAGUCUCUAGGGAUGUAUGUGUCCUUGUCUUAAAAAGAAAUUAAGCGAUAAGAAGCAGAAAGGGACAUAAAUCCUGCGAAGGAGAACAGCAGGGACUGCAGCUAGGUAGAUGCCAUCGGCAGAUGGAAUCAGAUCAUCUUCAAACACGUCAGGCUUCAUUUUAAUA